UUCCCUCUCUUUUUUUUUUAAUUGGCCACAAUUUUCCCUCUCGUUUAAUUGACACUCUCAUUUUCCCCCAAAUCACCCUCUCAUUUUCCCCAAAUGACCCUCUCUAACAUUUUCCACCAAAUUGAAUCCGAUCGGCCGACCAUUGCAUGCACUUGAGCUGGACUCCGAGAUUGGUGCACUUUCCUGUAUUGACAGAUUAAUUUAACUGGUGAAAUAGUAGGAGAAGUGAAAGCAGUUGCAAAUAUGCAUCAAAGGAAAGCAGAAAUGGAUAGGCACUCUGAUGCUUUUAUUGCUUUACCAGAUUGGGUUUGAGCCAAAACGACUGAGUUCUGUCGAUCCCGCGUCCUAUCCUAAGUGCAAAACGAAAUAUAUUUGUUUAACUUUUGGUAAUCGGAGCUAGUCCAAUCCACGGCCAUUACCUUAACAACAACAAAAAGCUUCUUCUGUCAGUAACUACAAUAUGGACAGUAAAAAUGUCAUUGUUUGCAACGACACCAGGGUAUUAUUAAUUCUCUUUCUCUUCUUGAAUUUCAUUUGGAAUCCAUUUUUUAACACAAUUGCUUUUAAUCUGUUGUAUUCCCCAACUGUAAAACCAAACUGAUCUUUAAUAGCAGAUUACAGGUUGGUGACUUUGAAUGUGUCAAUAUAUUACUUAUUUCUUAAUUACUCCCGGAUCAGCUAACUUGACUCCAUGCCCUCUUUUUUCCUUUACAUUAUUACACUACACUGUGUGAUAUCAAAGUUUUCUGAUUUUCUCCUAAAAUUUAGUUUAUUUUGUUUAGAUACAUUUCAUCCCUACACAAUAAAGUACAGUUUUGACUUAUAUAAAAAAAGAAAGAAAAACUUUGGUUUUUAGUAUGCCAUGAUCAAAUGUUUACCUAUUCUUGAAAAUUAAAUCCUUAACAAUCACUUCUCCUUCACAAGAUAUAAGCUUUAACUUUAAUUUCUCGUUAUGGAGAUCAUCAUCCACCAACUCAAGCAUGAUGCUCUUCCUUUCCUAGUGGAACCUGCUAUUCAGUAUCAAGUGAAAGAGUUUUUGUACCAAGCAUUUGCUUAACGUAACUAAUGAUUCUAGCUAUUUUCUUUCUUAUGUUUGUUUCUCUCUUUUAGACUUUUCUUUUGGGGCCAGUCAUGGUAGUCCUAAUACAUUUUUCUAAUCUAUUUUGAUAUAUAAAUGGACAGUAUAAUGUUGUGUGUCAAUUCUCAAUGUUUUAAUGAACUAAUGCAGUAUGUCAAGUGUGGCUUUGUGGGUGAGAAUUUUCCCACAUCUGUAUUCCCUUGUGUUGUAGGGAGGCCAAUGCUAAGAUAUGAAGAAUCCUUCAUCGAACAAGACUUGAAGCCAAGUGAUGCGGCUAGCGGACCCAUUUCGCCCAUGGAUACAAAGAGAUCACGUGAUGAUAAUGAUCCUAAUGACAUUCUUUGAUUUUGUUGCAUUUGUCUUGGAUAUUCAAUUAUGAUGAUGUAAUUGUAUGGUUGGAGUGAAUCUUAGAAUAUUGAAGGUUUUGUGUUUAAA
Capsicum annuum is the source of this 1513-nucleotide RNA transcript. It is a transcript of the gene named actin-related protein 2-like, with no coding region annotated. Lineage: Eukaryota; Viridiplantae; Streptophyta; Magnoliopsida; Solanales; Solanaceae. The transcript has 4 exons. The record is from RefSeq and is a predicted model, not a curated record.